UACGUAGGGGGCUAGCGUUAAUCGGAAUUACUGGGCGUAAAGCGUGCGCAGGCGGUUAUGCAAGACAGAGGUCGAAAUCCCCGGGGCUCAACCUGGGAACUGCCUUUGUGACUGCAUAGCUAGAGUACGGUAGAGGGGGAUGGAAUUCCGCGUGUAGCAGUGAAAUGCGUAGAUAUGCGGAGGAACACCGAUGGCGAAGGCAAUCCCCUGGACCUGUACUGACGCUGAUGCACGAAAGCGUGGGGAGCAAACAGG
This 255-nucleotide ribosomal RNA is filed under the name uncultured bacterium. Its description in RNAcentral is "partial 16S ribosomal RNA". It matches the Rfam family "Bacterial small subunit ribosomal RNA", at positions 524 to 776 of the family's 1533-position model. The record is from RNAcentral.